GUGAGGGGCCAAACUGAGCCGUGACUAUACUGCAUGUCUGCUUGUGGAGUCCGCUGUGGGAAACAUGUCGAGGGAUCGGGAAUGGCGGUUUGACGAGCCGUGAGACCUGGCACUGGUGGGGAGGGGCCUCGCGGGCACGGCGGAGCGGCGAUGGAUGCCGAUGGGGUGACCGGUGCGGUUCCCACUCCGGGUGGAUUUCGCGGACUGCUUGGAGCAGCCAGAUCCGGUCCCUCUGGUGCUGCUGCCGCCGCGUGUGGAAGCGUCGGCUGCGUGCAACUAUUAGGGAAAUGCAGCCAGGUCUGGAUUCGUUGGCUGGAGGACCAGAUUGCAUUGUGGACAGGUGGAUGAUGAUACGAGGGGGCCCGGACUACUGGUGGCAGCCAACCUACUAAUGCACUAGCAGGAGCACCCCCUGGACAAGGCGCUGUGCCUAAUCCCGGUCUGCUCCUCUUCCAGCCUUUCCCUAGCAAAACAUGUGGCUUAUCUCCAGGUAAUCGGUUCCAUCUCUCCAGAUCACGAAGGAUUCAGAUCUAUUGCUUGUUGAAUUUAGAGUGAAUUCCAUUUUUUACCUUGUAGUUGUACAUUUGUGACACAUAUUACCCUAUUUAGUGGAACUUUUAUCAAAAUGUCAGAUUUUGGAGACUUUUAACACGGUUUUAUCCCAGUUUUACAUUUUGUUUGUUUAUGGUCGAUAGGAUCGGCAUGUUGCGUCAUUGAUUCGUAAAAAAAACUGUAAGGAUCGGAGGGCAUCAUUGGCGAUCUUGUCCAAGCUUCUCUUGUCUAUCUGUUCCACUCCUUGUGGCCGUCCACAUGUUUUUGGAUACAGGGCGUCACCUCACACCUUACCUGAUGGACACGCAUCAAAAAACGAGGGUCCAAAGAUUUUAAAAGGGGUAUUCUAGACGAAUUUUCACUCGAAGGGGUAAUUAGUGUCACAAAUGUAUAAAUAUGGGGUAAAAAGUGGAAUUCACUCUUGAAUUUACAAGUCAAUUGGUUUGUUGGUUUAUUCUUGCCUAGGAUUAUUGGGCGAGUUUAUUUGAAAAUUAGUACUGGGUUGAAUGAGUAUGGACUAUAGUUGUAACAACAGUUUACAAGUUGAAGAACCAGCAACAACUCGCAAGUUCAUUCUUUGCAAAUUAAUUAAAUUACCCCAGUGAAUCA
Long non-coding RNA from Triticum aestivum (bread wheat), 1161 nucleotides. RefSeq lists it as uncharacterized. Lineage: Eukaryota; Viridiplantae; Streptophyta; Magnoliopsida; Poales; Poaceae. The record is from RefSeq and is a predicted model, not a curated record. The transcript is spliced from 3 exons.